Molecule: ribosomal RNA, 464 nt
Filed under: uncultured bacterium
Lineage: Bacteria
Description: partial 16S ribosomal RNA
Rfam family: Bacterial small subunit ribosomal RNA
Source: RNAcentral
GACGAACGCUGGCGGCGUGCUUAACACAUGCAAGUCGAACGGUAAGGCCCUUUCGGGGGUCCACGAGUGGCGAACGGGGGAGUAACACGUGGGUGAUCUGCCCUGCACUUUGGGAUAAGCCUGGGAAACUGGGUCUAAUACCGGAUAGGACUACGCGAUGCAUGUCGUGUGGUGGAAAGCUUUUGCGGUGUGGGAUGGGCCCGCGGCCUAUCAGCUUGUUGGUGGGGUGAUGGCCUACCAAGGCGACGACGGGUAGCCGGCCUGAGAGGGUGUCCGGCCACACUGGGACUGAGAUACGGCCCAGACUCCUACGGGAGGCAGCAGUGGGGAAUAUUGCACAAUGGGCGCAAGCCUGAUGCAGCGACGCCGCGUGGGGGAUGACGGCCUUCGGGUUGUAAACCCCUUUCAGCACAGACGAAGCGUAAGUGACGGUAUGUGCAGAAGAAGCACCGGCCAACUACGUG